UUUCCGUAGGUAAACCUGCGGAAGGAUCAUUACCGAAUUUCUUAAUUAGCGUUCCGUGCUAUCCCAUUGCAUUAUUUCCCCUGCUGCUUCCACCGGAUGAGUUUACAUACCUUGUGCUUGAGAGACUUUGGCUUGUGUAAGAUUCAUUCACGGCCAGCCAGUGAGAAGACCAUCUACAAUACCCUGUUAAGAACCAUUUGUCUGAAUAUUAUACUCAAAUUAAAUAAAACUUUCAACAACGGAUUUCUAUGCUCUUGCAUCGAAGAAGAACGCAGCAGA
Molecule: unclassified non-coding RNA, 279 nt
Filed under: plant metagenome
Description: partial contains small subunit ribosomal RNA, internal transcribed spacer 1, and 5.8S ribosomal RNA
Rfam family: 5.8S ribosomal RNA (bases 228-279)
Source: RNAcentral